UGGGGAAUUUUGGACAAUGGGCGCAAGCCUGAUCCAGCAAUGCCGCGUGCAGGAUGAAGGCCUUCGGGUUGUAAACUGCUUUUGUACGGAACGAAAAGGCUCAGGUUAAUACCUGGGGCUCAUGACGGUACCGUAAGAAUAAGCACCGGCUAACUACGUGCCAGCAGCCGCGGUAAUACGUAGGGUGCAAGCGUUAAUCGGAAUUACUGGGCGUAAAGCGUGCGCAGGCGGUCUUGUAAGACAGUCGUGAAAGCCCCGGGCUUAACCUGGGAACUGCAUUUGUGACUGCAUAGCUGGAGUGCGGCAGAGGGGGAUGGAAUUCCGCGUGUAGCAGUGAAAUGCGUAGAUAUGCGGAGGAACACCGAUGGCGAAGGCAAUCCCCUGGGCCUGUACCGACGCUCAUGCACGAAAGCGUGGGGAGCAAACA
This 427-nucleotide ribosomal RNA is filed under the name uncultured bacterium. RNAcentral's name for it is "bacterial SSU rRNA". It matches the Rfam family "Bacterial small subunit ribosomal RNA", at positions 355 to 774 of the family's 1533-position model. The record is from RNAcentral.